This 373-nucleotide unclassified non-coding RNA is filed under the name uncultured Eubacteriales bacterium. Its description in RNAcentral is "contains 16S-23S intergenic spacer region". Lineage: Bacteria; Bacillati; Bacillota; Clostridia; Eubacteriales. The record is from RNAcentral.
UCCGAGUUGUCCUCGGCAGUCUCUCUAGAGUGCCCAACUGAAUGAUGGCAACUAAAGACAAGGGUUGCGCUCGUUGCGGGACUUAACCCAACAUCUCACGACACGAGCUGACGACAACCAUGCACCACCUGUCUCCUCUGUCCGAAGAAGGUCCCGGUUAAGGGACUGUCAGAGGGAUGUCAAGCCCUGGUAAGGUUCUUCGCGUUGCUUCGAAUUAAACCACAUGCUCCGCUGCUUGUGCGGGUCCCCGUCAAUUCCUUUGAGUUUCACACUUGCGUGCGUACUCCCCAGGCGGAGCACUUAAUGCGUUAACUGCGGCACCGAAGUCUUGCGACCCCGACACCUAGUGCUCAUCGUUUACGGCGUGGACUAC